GACGAACGCUGGCGGCGUGCUUAACACAUGCAAGUCGAACGGAAAGGCCCUGCUUGCAGGGUACUCGAGUGGCGAACGGGUAAGGAACACGUGGGAGAUCUGCCAUGCACCUCGGGAUAAGCCUGGACAACUGGGUCUAAUACCGGAUAGGAGCCAUUCUUGGUGUGAUGGUUGGAAAGUUUUUUCGGUGUAGUAUGGGGUCGCGGCCUGUCGGCUUGUUCGUGGGGCAAUGGCGUAUCGAGGGGGCGACGGGUAGCCGGCCUGAGAGGGUGGACGGCCACGGUGGGGCUGAGAUACGGCGCAGGCACCGGCGAGUGGCGGAAGUGGGGAGUAUUGCUCAAGGAGCGCAGGCCUGAUGCAGCGACGCCGCUUGGGGGAUGGCGGCCUUCGCGUUGUAGACGCCUUUCUCUAGGGUCGGAGCUUUUUGUGACGGUACCUAGAUAAGAAGCACCGGCUAACUACGUG
Molecule: ribosomal RNA, 465 nt
Filed under: uncultured bacterium
Lineage: Bacteria
Description: partial 16S ribosomal RNA
Rfam family: Bacterial small subunit ribosomal RNA
Source: RNAcentral